GUUCAUGAGCGGCGGCGAUUGCUUACCAUCAGGUGAUACGUCUGCUCGUUUACCGGCUUAUAUUAUACCGGGCAUACCGGGGCAUACCGGGGCUCCGGCUCGAAAAGCAGGAGUAGGAACGGGGUGGUUUUUAGUUAGUAAGAGUCUGACACUACCUCUCGCCUCGCCCAAGGCGGGAGAAGUCACUGGAUGAUUUUCCCCCCUUAAAAAAUAUCAUAAAAAACGCAUUGAGCAAGCGUAGUGAUUACUGUUCAAACCUUCUCCGUGUGAGAAGAGGCCUUUGGUCAGCAGUGGCCACUUAUGGGCUGUUGACGAUUUUUAAUACCUACAUAUAUGUAUAAACGAAUACAUAAUGUGUUUGUUAUUGUAAUUUUUUAAAACCAAAAAUCCGGAAAAGUUUUUGACCAAACUGGUUAUCGUUUUAAAACCAGUUUUGUAUUAAAAAAAAACUACUAAAUGUCAAGUCUGACCGUGAGUCUAAAUUAUAGCGGCUUUUGACAAAAACGUGCAAUGAACUGUGUGACGUAACUGCUGAGUAAAGGGCAAAGGGUCUAAAUUCGUUUCCCGGGUCGGGUAUGAUAUGCUAAAUGAAAUUAUUUGAUUAUUGACAAGUUAUUUUAGAGUUUACUCAAGAAUUGGGGUUUGAAGUUACCGGUUUGAGUCUCGAUUGAGACAUUUGUUUUAUGGAAACUUUUUCGUGUUUAUAUAAUUUAUCACCCACUGCUUUUUUAAAGUUUUUGAGGUUUUUUUUUUAUAAUGUGGCAUUAAAAAUACAUACAAUUAGAAAUAAUUUAUUAGACAAAACAACGUUGAACGGGUCAGCUAAUUAAUAUAAUAAUUAUAGAUUCUCUAAGAUGUGUUCAUGUGUUCUCAUCCCAAAAUCAGGUUUAUCAGAGAGCUGUUGCUGCCCGCUCUACAUCUGUACAUGUGUAGUCUCUUAGUCAGACCUUAGAACACCCGCGGUAAGAUUAGGGGUAGUAAUCACUACAUAGUAUAAAACAAAGUCGCUCUCUCUGUCCCUAUGUCCCUUUGUAUGCUUGAAUCUUUAAAACUACGCAACGGAUUUUGACGCGGUUUUUUUAAUAGAUAGAGUAAUUCAAGGGGAUGUUUAUAUGUAUAAUACAUGCUUAAUAUAUAGUACGUUAUAUUUUACUAAGUAUUUCAAGCAACCUUGUGCUUUUGAUGCAUAAAACAAAUGAAAGAUAUUUUAAAUUUAAACUAGAAUGUUAAUAACAAGGUUUCAUAAUGACCGGAAACCUUUCAGAUUGGCCGUGAAAUGUUAAAAAGUAAAUAUAAGUGUAAGGCAUGUUCAUACACGUGUAUUUUAAUUUAAAAACUAUAUGUAGCAGAUCGUGAUGGAAGCUAAAGUAUGUAAGGAGCGUAGUAGGUGGCGCUCUGCAGUUUCUGUAUACCAUCAGAUGUAUGAAUGUGAUGGAAGCUAAAUAAGUAUGUAAGGAGCGCAGUAGGCGGCGCUCUGUAGUUUCUGUAUACCAUCAGAUGUAUGAAUGUGAUGGAAGCUAAAUAAGUAUGUAAGGAGCGCAGUAGGUGGCGCUCUGUAGUUUCUGUAUACCAUCAGAUGUAUGAAUGUGAUGGAAGCUAAAUAAGUAUGUAAGGAGCGCAGUAGGUGGCACUCUGUAGUUUCUGUAUACCAUCAGAUGUAUGAAUGUGAUGGAAGCUAAAUAAGUAUGUAAGGAGCGUAGUAGGUGGCGCUCUGUAGUUUCUGUAUACCAUCAGAUGUAUGAAUGUGAUGGAAGCUAAAUAAGUAUGUAAGGAGCGUAGUAGGUGGCGCUCUGUAGUUUCUGUAUACCAUCAGAUGUAUGAAUGUGAUGGAAGCUAAAUAAGUAUGUAAGGAGCGUAGUAGGUGGCGCUCUGUAGUUUCUGUAUACCAUCAGAUGUAUGAAUGUGAUGGAAGCUAAAAAGUAUGUAAGGAGCGUAGUAAGUGGCGCUCUGUAGUUUCUGUAUACCAUCAGAUGUAUGAAUGUGAUGGAAGCUAAAGAAGUAUGUAAGGAGCGUAGUAGGUGGCGCUCUGUAGUUUCUGUAUACCAUCAGAUGUAUGAAUGUGAUGGAAGCUAAAUAAGUAUGUAAGGAGCGCAGUAGGUGGCGCUCUGUAGUUUCUGUAUACCAUCAGAUGUAUGAAUGUGAUGGAAGCUAAAUAAGUAUGUAAGGAGCGCAGUAGGUGGCGCUCUGUAGUUUCUGUAUACCAUCAGAUGUAUGAAUGUGAUGGAAGCUAAAUAAGUAUGUAAGGAGCGUAGUAGGUGGCGCUCUGUAGUUUCUGUAUACCAUCAGAUGUAUGAAUGUGAUGGAAGCUAAAUAAGUAUGUAAGGAGCGUAGUAGGUGGCGCUCUGUAGUUUCUGUAUACCAUCAGAUGUAUGAAUGUGAUGGAAGCUAAAUAAGUAUGUAAGGAGCGUAGUAGGUGGCGCUCUGUAGUUUCUGUAUACCAUCAGAUGUAUGAAUGUGAUGGAAGCUAAAUAAGUAUGUAAGGAGCGUAGUAGGUGGCGCUCUGUAGUUUCUGUAUACCAUCAGAUGUAUGAAUGUGAUGGAAGCUAAAUAAGUAUGUAAGGAGCGCAGUAGGUGGCGCUCUGUAGUUUCUGUAUACCAUCAGAUGUAUGAAUGUGGUGGAAGCUAAAGAAGUAACCUGUAAUGAACUAUAUAAUAAAAUCUAAGUAUCUGAAUGACACCCACUUCUAACGGUUGUAUCAUCGCGAAACUAGGCAGUUGUGUGUAGAUUGGAUGACAAUACAAUAUUAUGGCACCAUCGAACUGGUCUGAUGAUGGAAUUGGAAGGUGGCUGAUGGAACCUAGGACUGCCUACCUACUAGCAAACAUAAUGUGGAGUUUUGGCUCAUUAGAUAUGUCCAUUUCUCCUGAUGGCGCAGAAGCUAAUAUUAUUUUGUUUUUUAAUUUACUUAGUUACAAAUGAAAAUGGUGAUUCCAAAUUCCAAAUUCCAAAUAAACAGUAAUACGCGCGUGAGUUUAUAAUUUAUUACAAUAUCUACUUAAGUCGAUCGAUUUGAAUUUAAAUUUUCAAUUGUGGUUUGUGCGGGCUCAUUAACCGCGGGGUUACGGGUUCGAGACCUGGUAAGUGACAUUGUUUUUCUGUGAAUAAUUAAUUUGAAACUGUCAAUGUUGUAUUGUAAGUAUAUAUAUGUUAUAUACAGUAAAUCUGAUUAAUUGAAAAUUAUUAAUAAUAACCACACGUUUUGGUAAAUAUAAAAAAUUGUUUGUUGAACGUAAUAUACAAAGGAUGUUUUUCUACCAGGGAUGUCCUAUGUUGUUAUGCUAUGAAGAUGUAAUAACUAAGCUGUGAAACUAUGUGACGGUUUCCACUGAUACUAAGCUAUGUAGCGGUGCGAGGAAGAUGCGCAGGGGCCUUAGUCUGCUAUUACAAUUGUGUCAGAAUGGUCGAUCACUGAGCAGUGCGAGAGGGACGGAGCUAUACAACCUACAUAGCUCCGUCCCCAGGACUAAAGCCCUAGGUUGAGUGUGUGAUGAAUCGAUAGUAGGGAAACCAUCCAUAGCAUGCACCAACAAUACGUAUCUUUCCAUUAAAAAACAUAGGUUAGCUGACUCCGUUUCCACCAGUGCUAAAUAAAGCGCUUUCGCGGAGUAAAUAGCUCAUCCCUAAACGUUUAUUAUGACAAUAAUUAAAAAAAUAAAUAUAAUUUUUAAUUCUUCCAUAAUUAUCAUAUUUUUAUUGCCUACCUACAAUAAUUAGGUACGAUUUUGUUUUUAUAUGUGUUUAGUCGUAUUUUUGAUCGAAGUAGAUUUCCUGUUUAUACAAGGUUAUAGAGGUUUAUUCGCAGUAUAAAAGGUUCAGGUUUAUCAGAGAGCGCUGAUGUUUGGUCUCUGUCAAAUGUUACCCAGUGGUAGAAUAGCAGUGGUACAAAUUUAAUACAUAUUAUACUCUAUACAUAUAAACUAAUAGUUUUUAUAUGAGCAACUAGCUUCUGCCAGCAAAUUCGCCCACGUUCCCGUGGGAUAAAAUAGCCUAUGUAUUAUUCCAGACCAUAAUCUACCCUUGUUCCAAAUUUCAUCCUGAUCCCUUCAGCCAUUAUGACGUUAUUGUGUAACAAACAUACACACAAACAAAUAUAAAUAAGAAGUAAGAUAAGAUGAGUGACAAAUAAAUACUUUGACUUUGAUUUUGACCUUGGCUUUGACUUUGAGGUUUUUAUAUAAGACGCGUUAGGUUAUGAGACAUAAGAUACAUAAUAUGAUACAUCAGGUAUAUUGGAAGAUAUACAUUUUAACUAAUAUACCUACCUAGUUAUACCUAAAAUAAAGAUGAAACUAGUUUCCAACAAAAACUGGUUACUGAGAUCCGUCCAGUAAGACGGAUAGACAUUCCUACGACACGGCUGUACCAUCACGCUGUUCUAAAAAUAUCGUAAAACCACUUGACCAGGCAACCAUAGUACCGCCUCAAAUAUUUCUUCUUCUCACCUUUUAACCCUUCCCUGGACUUCCACAAAUAAUUCAAGACCAAAAUUUUGCCAAAUCGGUCCAGGCGUUCUCGAGUUUUAGCGGGACUAACGAACAGCAAAUAUACAUACAAGAUACAUAUAUAGUAUAGUAGAAAUAGAGCUUAUAAUUUGUGUUUUAAAAUCUGCUGUUUUCAAUAAUUGUAAACCACCUCUUAACUAAGUGUUGCUUAGCGUGAGGGAACACCUAAAUUAAUCCCUAACUUGUACGGAGCUGCGGACUACCUAGCGGGUUUACCGGGGCUCCGGCUCGAAAAGCAGGAGUAGGAACGGGGUGGUUUUUAGUUAGUAAGAGUCUGACACUCCCACGCCUCACUCAAGGUGGGAGAAGACAUUGAAUGGUGUUCACCCCUUAAGAAAGUAAAAUAAUAAAGGAAUCGCUGAUAUUAUAGCCGUUUUCCCCCUAAACCAGCUCUUAACAGAGACUUACUUAGCUUAAGGGACCACCUAAACGAACCCCUUAUUGGUGAAAAGCAAAAUGUAGUCAAUCUUAGAUGAGGGGUUCCGUAAAAUUUAGAAGAGGUUGGUAAAAGCAAGCAUUCAGCAUCAGGUCGGUUUUUCAUUAAUCAUUACGACUUUGGCCCUACAGAGGAGUAGACAGAGCUUCCUAGACUAAUAAAUAAAAUUGGAGUGUCUGUUUGUAAUAUUGAAAUGACCGUUAACAUACGAUACAUAUACCCAAAAUAAUAAUUUUCAUUUAUACAUAUAUACAUAUUUUAUUAUGUACCUGUAUAAAAAAUAUUUCUUUUUUGUUUGUUCUUAAAAGAGUUAUUUUAAUAUUUUUUUUUUGGGAUUUACCUAUAAGGAAAUAUUUUAGAGUAA
Long non-coding RNA from Spodoptera frugiperda (fall armyworm), 5303 nucleotides. RefSeq lists it as uncharacterized. Lineage: Eukaryota; Metazoa; Arthropoda; Insecta; Lepidoptera; Noctuidae. The transcript is spliced from 6 exons. The record is from RefSeq and is a predicted model, not a curated record.